GAAAAAUGCAACGAGCUGGUCACUUGUAUGAAAGUCUCCAAGCAAAUAUAACGGAGACCAUGCAACCAGGAAGCAAAAAUUUUCCCAUCUUCACAAAAUCAAAUCAAACAGAAAAUCCUCUGUCCAGGAAAUCCCAAAAAUGCAGAGAGAUUAUAACAGCAAACCAACCUUCACUGAGAUCUUUAUAGCCUCUUCGAUCGGUUUAAUCAUUGCAGUAGCAAUGCAUUAUCUUUUUCGACAGACCAGGGAUCGGAAG
This 256-nucleotide unclassified non-coding RNA is filed under the name Hevea brasiliensis (rubber tree). The record is from RNAcentral. Lineage: Eukaryota; Viridiplantae; Streptophyta; Magnoliopsida; Malpighiales; Euphorbiaceae.